AUUGAACGCUGGCGGCACGCCUAACACAUGCAAGUCGAGCGGCAGCAUAGUUUGUAGCAAUACAAACGGAUGGCAAGCGGCGGACGGGUGAGGAAUACGUAGGAACCUACCCUCGAGCGGGGGACAACCAAGGGAAACUUUGGCUAAUACCGCAUAAACUCGAGAGAGAAAAGCUGCCCGCAAGGGUGGCACUUGAGGAGGGGCCUGCGUCCGAUUAGCUAGUUGGUAGGGUAAAAGCCUACCAAGGCAAUGAUCGGUAACUGGUCUGAGAGGACGACCAGUCACACUGGGACUGAUACACGGCCCAGACUCCUACGGGAGGCAGCAGUGGGGAAUAUUGGACAAUGGGGGCAACCCUGAUCCAGCGAUGCCGCGUGAGUGAAGAAGGCCUUCGGGUCGUAAAGCUCUUUAGGUUGGGAAGAAGUACAUAGGCUGAAUAAUCCUGUGUGUUGACGGUACCGACAGAAUAAGCACCGGCAAACUCUGUGCCAGCCGCCGCGGUAAAAC
RNAcentral lists this ribosomal RNA (507 nucleotides) under uncultured bacterium. RNAcentral's name for it is "bacterial SSU rRNA". It matches the Rfam family "Bacterial small subunit ribosomal RNA", at positions 29 to 526 of the family's 1533-position model. The record is from RNAcentral.